Molecule: long non-coding RNA, 236 nt
Organism: Stomoxys calcitrans (stable fly)
Lineage: Eukaryota; Metazoa; Arthropoda; Insecta; Diptera; Muscidae
Exons: 2
Source: RefSeq, a predicted model, not a curated record
GUUGAAUCCGUCUUUAAAUUUUCACUGCCGUGAUUUAAAACCAGAACUUCGUCGGGAUAGGAUAGCUUGAAAACCAACUUGGUAUAAAUGAAAAUUGCAUUCUACAAUUAGAGGACAAACGACAAACACAAGAAACGCACAGAUGUUUAUAAAGCAAUAACCAGGGAAAGGCUUAAUUAAGGGGACUGUGUUUCUAUUAAUAAAAAGGAGAUGUUGGAAGAAACAUUUUUAACUUA